This 379-nucleotide long non-coding RNA is filed under the name Nicotiana benthamiana. Its description in RNAcentral is "long non-coding RNA (NBEN_LNC031652)". Lineage: Eukaryota; Viridiplantae; Streptophyta; Magnoliopsida; Solanales; Solanaceae. The record is from RNAcentral.
UGGCAUCCUGCUAGACUGGGACAGAUGCUGCUUGAGAGUAAUAGAGAGGUUCAGAUUCCAGAGGAGAAGAAGAUGAAGAAGAGCCAGAAAAAGGAAGGAAGGUGACAAACAUAAUCCUUGAGAUAAGAAGGAGGGUUAUGCUGCCUUCCAGACUUUCUGGAAACAGCAUGUGCUGUAGGAGAAGAAAUGGUAGGAGGAGGAUAUCAGGAUGGAAAGGUGGACUGGAAAUAGGAAGACUGGAAGAGGGAACAGAACUGGAUGAGGGAGAAGAAUUGGCAGAAGGAGAAGGAAGAGAGGAACAAGUUGGAAAAGACAAAUCUGACUCAGAAAGUGGAUGCUCAGAAGAAGGAACAAAAGGGAAAGAAGCAGUAGGGGUAAC